This 467-nucleotide ribosomal RNA is filed under the name uncultured bacterium. Its description in RNAcentral is "partial 16S ribosomal RNA". It matches the Rfam family "Bacterial small subunit ribosomal RNA", at positions 28 to 507 of the family's 1533-position model. The record is from RNAcentral.
GACGAACGCUGGCGGCGUGCUUAACACAUGCAAGUCGAACGGAAAGGCCCUGCUUUUGUGGGGUGCUCGAGUGGCGAACGGGUGAGUAACACGUGAGUACCUGCCCUUGACUUUGGGAUAACUUCAGGAAACUGGGGCUAAUACCGGAUAGGAGCUCCUGCUGCAUGGUGGGGGUUGGAAAGUUUCGGCGGUUGGGGAUGGACUCGCGGCUUAUCAGCUUGUUGGUGGGGUAGUGGCUUACCAAGGCUUUGGCGGGUAGCCGGCCUGAGAGGGUGACCGGCCACAUUGGGACUGAGAUACGGCCCAGACUCCUACGGGAGGCAGCAGUGGGGAAUAUUGCACAAUGGGCGGAAGCCUGAUGCAGCAACGCCGCGUGCGGGAUGACGGCCUUCGGGUUGUAAACCGCUUUCGCCUGUGACGAAGCGUGAGUGACGGUAAUGGGUAAAGAAGCACCGGCUAACUACGUG